RNAcentral lists this ribosomal RNA (286 nucleotides) under Pessonella sp. PRA-29. RNAcentral describes it as "partial Bacterial large subunit ribosomal RNA". It matches the Rfam family "Bacterial large subunit ribosomal RNA", at positions 1 to 317 of the family's 2925-position model. The record is from RNAcentral. Lineage: Eukaryota; Discosea; Flabellinia; Vannellidae.
GAGGGCUACACGGGGGAUGCCUAGGCUCUCAGAGACGACGAAGGACGUGGUAAGCUGCGAAAAGUUACGGGGAAGUGCAAACGACUUAUGAUCCGUAAAUGUCCGAAUGGGGAAACCCGGCAGGUUGAAGACCUGUCGUCGAAAGACGGAAACCCGAUGAACUGAAACAUCUAAGUAGUCGGAGGAAUAGAAAACAAUAGUGAUUCCGCAAGUAGUGGCGAGCGAACGCGGAUUAGCCCAAACCAUCAUGAUACGUCGUGGUGGGGUUGUAGGACUUGCAAAAAGC